UUUAUUAUUUCAAUUUUUUAUAUUUAAUAUAUGACAAAUUUUAUGUUAUCAUUAUUUUUUUUUAAUUUUUAGGGUUCCGUACUCGGUUUGGAAUCCUAUUAAUAUCGAUUUUUUUGAAAUCGUGUAACUAUAUAUAUAUAUUUUUUAAACAUUUGUUUUUAUACCAAAGGAGGAAGAAUUUUCUUAAAUUUUUUUUUCAAACUUGUUCCUUUUUGUAUCACUUAUAUUAUUUGUCAUACAACACAUAUUUUUUAAACAUUUGUUUUCAUAACAAAUAAGUUCGCUUUGAGUACGGAACCUUCAAUUUCAGUGCGAGUGUAACUCGUACUUGUCCGAUUUUUUACUUUAUAAUAAAAAUGUAGUUUUUUUUUGGUGAUAGAGUAUUAUCUCUUAUAUAUAAAAAGACUCUUCAUGUAUAUUUAUUUAUUUAUUGAAACACCACCGUAUAUGUUUCUUAUUGAAAAUUAUUACUGAAAUUGGCACUUUUUAUUACUAUUAUCGACAUUAAAACUUGACGAAAAACAGAUUCACAAAAUUUAAAAAUUAACAUCUACUUUUGUCAGGUAUUUUAGUUUACACUUCUGAUUAUUCUUUUUCUAUAAUAAUUAUCAAUUAUCACUUUAUAAACUCGCAUAUUCAAUGAUAACAAUUUAUAGCAGAAAAAUAGUUUUUUUUUCUAUAAUUUAUAAUAUUGAAGACGAAAAUAGUUGACAAAAGUAAACACCAGGUGGCGUAUUGCAUCAGUAAUCGCGCGCGUUCUAUCCGACAUGUUUUUUUUUUGGUUAGAAACAAAUUCGGUGGUAUGAAGUGCGGUUCAUCAAAUUUUACUGCAAUUAUGUCUGGCAUUGAGUUUAAAAAUCUAAAAUGUAAUUAGAAUAAGUAGUAAUGUGAAGUGUUAAUAUAUUGUUGAAUUAAGUAUAAUAAAACGAAUACUUGGAAAUUGGGAUAGAAAAAGUGAGGUUAGAAUUGACGUCACUGUUCAGAUUUUUCGUAUUCAAACACAUAGAAAUAUUUACCAUCAGUUAUUAAAAUUCGCCAAAAUAAUUAAAUAAAGAGUGUAUUUUAUCGUUUAUUUAUGCGAAAUUUUGAUUAAUAAUAAUAAAGUUAAUAUUUUUCAAUAUAUAUAUUGUUACGGGAGUGUUCGAAUUUUAACAAUAUUUUCACGUUAUCAAUUAUUUUUCAGUGAUUGUUGACACGGGAGUGCUCGAUUUUUUUUAAAUCGCAUUUAUUCGUUUAAAAAGAAAUUUAAUAAAGUUCGUGGAAAGUUAGUAUAAAAUAAAAAGUCCGGGAGUGUUGUACUUUUUUUUUUUUUUUUUUUUUAAAUCUGUGUGUUUGUGAUCUCGUCUCAACUUCAGGAAGAAGAUCGUGCAGAAGCUGAUGUCACUUUAUUAUUCUAUCCUCGAUGGCUUGUUGUGUGUUACGUGUACUUCAAAGAUAAGGGCAAAAGAACAACGAAUUCUUCAUAAUUCAGACUUUUUAGAACUCGGUCUAUUUUGACGGUUAUUUUUUACAUUUUCUAAAUGGAAAUUUAACUUGAAAGUGGGGAUCUCCGAGGGCUAUUUAGUAUGAAAGAAUAUCUUCUUGAAGCUGAAAAUUCGUCAUUAAGUUCAAGGUCGUAAGGUGAUAUAAUUGGCGUAUAGAAUAUGUGAG
Leptopilina boulardi is the source of this 1650-nucleotide long non-coding RNA. RefSeq lists it as uncharacterized. The record is from RefSeq and is a predicted model, not a curated record. Lineage: Eukaryota; Metazoa; Arthropoda; Insecta; Hymenoptera; Figitidae. The transcript has 3 exons.